Molecule: ribosomal RNA, 1509 nt
Filed under: Shigella sonnei
Lineage: Bacteria; Pseudomonadati; Pseudomonadota; Gammaproteobacteria; Enterobacterales; Enterobacteriaceae
Description: partial 23S ribosomal RNA
Rfam family: Bacterial large subunit ribosomal RNA
Source: RNAcentral
UUCCUGUACUUGGUGUUACUGCGAAGGGGGGACGGAGAAGGCUAUGUUGGCCGGGCGACGGUUGUCCCGGUUUAAGCGUGUAGGCUGGUUUUCCAGGCAAAUCCGGAAAAUCAAGGCUGAGGCGUGAUGACGAGGCACUACGGUGCUGAAGCAACAAAUGCCCUGCUUCCAGGAAAAGCCUCUAAGCAUCAGGUAACAUCAAAUCGUACCCCAAACCGACACAGGUGGUCAGGUAGAGAAUACCAAGGCGCUUGAGAGAACUCGGGUGAAGGAACUAGGCAAAAUGGUGCCGUAACUUCGGGAGAAGGCACGCUGAUAUGUAGGUGAAGUCCCUUGCGGAUGGAGCUGAAAUCAGUCGAAGAUACCAGCUGGCUGCAACUGUUUAUUAAAAACACAGCACUGUGCAAACACGAAAGUGGACGUAUACGGUGUGACGCCUGCCCGGUGCCGGAAGGUUAAUUGAUGGGGUCAGCGCAAGCGAAGCUCUUGAUCGAAGCCCCGGUAAACGGCGGCCGUAACUAUAACGGUCCUAAGGUAGCGAAAUUCCUUGUCGGGUAAGUUCCGACCUGCACGAAUGGCGUAAUGAUGGCCAGGCUGUCUCCACCCGAGACUCAGUGAAAUUGAACUCGCUGUGAAGAUGCAGUGUACCCGCGGCAAGACGGAAAGACCCCGUGAACCUUUACUAUAGCUUGACACUGAACAUUGAGCCUUGAUGUGUAGGAUAGGUGGGAGGCUUUGAAGUGUGGACGCCAGUCUGCAUGGAGCCGGCCUUGAAAUACCACCCUUUAAUGUUUGAUGUUCUAACGUGGACCCGUGAUCCGGGUUGCGGACAGUGUCUGGUGGGUAGUUUGACUGGGGCGGUCUCCUCCUAAAGAGUAACGGAGGAGCACGAAGGUUGGCUAAUCCUGGUCGGACAUCAGGAGGUUAGUGCAAUGGCAUAAGCCAGCUUGACUGCGAGCGUGACGGCGCGAGCAGGUGCGAAAGCAGGUCAUAGUGAUCCGGUGGUUCUGAAUGGAAGGGCCAUCGCUCAACGGAUAAAAGGUACUCCGGGGAUAACAGGCUGAUACCGCCCAAGAGUUCAUAUCGACGGCGGUGUUUGGCACCUCGAUGUCGGCUCAUCACAUCCUGGGGCUGAAGUAGGUCCCAAGGGUAUGGCUGUUCGCCAUUUAAAGUGGUACGCGAGCUGGGUUUAGAACGUCGUGAGACAGUUCGGUCCCUAUCUGCCGUGGGCGCUGGAGAACUGAGGGGGGCUGCUCCUAGUACGAGAGGACCGGAGUGGACGCAUCACUGGUGUUCGGGUUGUCAUGCCAAUGGCACUGCCCGGUAGCUAAAUGCGGAAGAGAUAAGUGCUGAAAGCAUCUAAGCACGAAACUUGCCCCGAGAUGAGUUCUCCCUGACCCUUUAAGGGUCCUGAAGGAACGUUGAAGACGACGACGUUGAUAGGCCGGGUGUGUAAGCGCAGCGAUGCGUUGAGCUAACCGGUACUAAUGAACCGUGAGGCUUAACCUU